GUCUACGGCUAUGCUACCCUGAACAGGCCCUAUCCCGUCUGAUCUCAGAAGCUAAGCAGGGUUGGGCCUGGUUAGUACUUGGAUGGGAGACCACCUAGGAAGACCAGGUGCUGUAGGUG
Molecule: ribosomal RNA, 119 nt
Filed under: Pteropus alecto (black flying fox)
Lineage: Eukaryota; Metazoa; Chordata; Mammalia; Chiroptera; Pteropodidae
Source: RNAcentral